This 206-nucleotide ribosomal RNA is filed under the name uncultured bacterium. RNAcentral describes it as "partial 16S ribosomal RNA". It matches the Rfam family "Bacterial small subunit ribosomal RNA", at positions 568 to 774 of the family's 1533-position model. The record is from RNAcentral.
CGCGUAGGCGGCUUUAUAAGUCGGGGUGAAAGCCUGUGGCUCAACCACAGAAUUGCCUUCGAUACUGUAGAGCUUGAGACCGGAAGAGGUAAGUGGAACUGCGAGUGUAGAGGUGAAAUUCGUAGAUAUUCGCAAGAACACCAGUGGCGAAGGCGGCUUACUGGUCCGGUUCUGACGCUGAGGCGCGAAAGCGUGGGGAGCAAACA